GGAGUACAUACAAAAUAUAACCAUCAAAUUUAAUAAUAUAAUUAACGUGUUCGAGGCACAGCUCGUAUCUACACAUACGGUAAACAAAAUAUAUAUAUUCGGUCACAGCCGUCAUCAAAAUGCAUGAUCAUAAACCAAUAUAUAUAAAGUCUCGACCCACCGAAAUUGGAAGAGGCUAAGUUGGUUAGUAGCAAGAUAUAUUUACCAAAAACAGCAACAUAUAAUACUUCAUCAUAUAAUAGAACGGGAGAAUGUGGAGCUCCAUGUCUGCUGUCUUGCCGUCAACUCCUUAACCUGAAAAGAAUCAUAAAUAAUAGGGUAUGAGUGUGCAAGCACACUCAGUGGGGUAAACACUGCAAGCAGUUAUAACCAAUUGUGUAAUGAAUCAUAACAUGUUGAACUCUUAUAAUUUUUCACUUAGCUGACAUCUUGUGAGACUAGUCUCGGUCCCUUGUGGACCUGACCCCUUGUGGGCCGUUCAGCUCUUUGAUCCCUUGUGGAUCCGACCCCUUGUGGGUCCCAUUAGUUCAUAUGAAUGACGCACAACACAAUAAUGAUUAUAACCAUGUAACAACUACGCUUACAGAUAAAAGUAAACCCCACCUUAAGUGAUUGAAUUCAAACCUUGCUUCGGUUGUCCUCCUCGAGCCUUGGAUGCGCCGCUCCUAGCACUUGAAACACUUUAAACUUAGUUUCAUUACAAGCACUUAUUCUUGAAUAAGCUCUCAUUUCUUUAAACAAUAUUUUUAAUCUCUCUUGAAUAUAUUCUUGAAAAUUCUACAAUACACUUGAAGCUGAAGACCAU
Molecule: long non-coding RNA, 805 nt
Filed under: Salvia miltiorrhiza (redroot sage)
Lineage: Eukaryota; Viridiplantae; Streptophyta; Magnoliopsida; Lamiales; Lamiaceae
Description: long non-coding RNA (SMIL_LNC007304)
Source: RNAcentral